GUUUUCAUUAUCUCCUUGGCCAUGUUGGGGGAGGAUACAACCACGGAAGAAAUUUCACCAAGUUGGAGAUGCAUGAGAGGUCCGUAUUUAAGGGCAAGGUCUCGGAGAGUACGAUGUGGAAGUGAACCAGCCAUUGCUAGUUGAUGCAGGUUCCCUAUCAGAGGUAGCUUCUUUGGUCCCGGGGGUAGUUUGUGAGAAAGGGUGGUUUUUGGCUUGUAAUAAUGCUUUGCAAGCAAAUGCAACACCAGAGAGAAAAACAAGCUAAUAAACAAGAACGACGCUUGAGCUUCCAUGGUAUUAUUGGAGCACUCAACUCUGGUGUUUGUGAUUGUUAUUGCGGAGUGCUAGUUCUUAUUUAUAUACACAUUUAAAUUAGCUAGUUAUCUAGGAUAAAUAGUAAUUUUUAGUUUUGUGUAAGACGCUAAUAAAUUCGCUCAGCAUCAGUUAUUAUUAAUAAAAUAAUUUAUGUGAGAUAUUUUAUAUUUGUCAGCUUAUUACAUAUUUAAAGACAAAAAUAAUUAUUUAUUUAAAAUAUAAUUUAAUUUUUAUUUUUUUAUUUUUUAAUAAUUACAAAUGUAACAUUACAAUAAAUAUUUAAAAUUAAGAAAAUAAAUAUAAGUUAAAACAAAUAUAAUAAUAAACAUAAUAUUGUUUAAAAAGUAUAUUUUAUCUGUUAUUCUAAAUUUCUCUUGUAAUAAUGUUAGGUAAUGAAAGAUUCAAGUCGAAUCUCACUUUUGUUUGAGUCUCAUAUUUUGGAUAAGAUAUAGUCACAUUAAAAAUUUCAAAGUAAUAGAUAAAUUAUAUUUAUUAAUCAAUAUGAUGUUUAUUAUUAUGUUUGUUUUAACUUAUGUUUGUUUUCUUAUUUUUAAGUGUUUAUUGUAUUGUUAUACUUGCAAUGAUUAAAAAAUGUGAAAAAGAUAAAAAUUAAAUUAUAUUUUAGAUAAAUAACUAUUUUCGUUUCAUAAUAUAUAGAACAUAGACAAAUUCAUCCUUGAGUGUGUCACAUAAACUCUUUCAUUAUCAUUAAUAGACCAAAAUUAAUGAAUAGAUGAAUUUGUUAUACUUUUUUUACUUUCAAUGAUUAAUUUUUUUUAAUUUUUUGAAAACAAAUUUAAAAACAAAAAUAACUAUUAGGCUCAUAAAGUCACUCUAGCAAAACUAACUUAUACGUAUAUAGAUAUUCUAAUGUUAAUGCUCAUUUUGAACUUACGUUAAAGUAAACAACUUACCCUUGUUAAACUUUAAAUAUUGGUCACUAACUUUAAAAACGCUUAUUCUAAAAAAUCUGUUUGGAUAAGCUUCUUUAGAAACAUUUUUUAAAAAAAAAAUAAGAAGAAAAAAGAUGAGAUGAACUUUUCCAUAAACAAAAAUAAGCUCUCCAUGAGUUAAUUUUUAGAAGCUCACUAAUCUAAUUUCUUUAAAAGAUAAGAUGACAUCUACAAAUUAAUUAAUGAAAAAUUUAUUUUAACUAAUGGAGAAACUCAUUUUAUUUUUUUUUUCUUAUUUUUUUCUUCUAAAAAUAUUUCUAAAAAAGGUUACAUCCAAACAGACCCAAAAUCGUUUACUUUCACUCUUUCUAGAUAUUGCUUAGGUAACAUCGAUAUAUAUUUUCAAAACCUUGCUCUGGCACUCUAUCUACAUAUUUAUAUCUAUCAAUAUAUCUAUAUAUGAGACGUAUUAAGUAUAUCAAUUAUUACUUGUUAAUCAACGUGGGAUAUAUGUUAGUCAACCUUUCCUUAUCAGGGAUGUCAAUAUGUUGGUAUCAUAGCCGAUUCAGUGGCUGAGGUUUGCUGCUCGUGGCUGCCCGUAAUCUCCCAUAUUGGGUCUUAUCUGUUUAGCACUUUAGCCUGACAACCACCGUUGCCGUGUAACCAUGUAUUGUGGACUGAUAUUGAGGGCAUAAGUUUGCCACGUAGAAUUGCUGUGUAGUGGGCUUUGCCCCUCUCUUUAUUAAAAAAAAUUAAUUACUCAUUUAAUUUUGGUAAAAUUAUAAAGUUGGUCUUUCAAUUUCAAUUUUGAUCUUCCUUUAAAAAUUAUUGACGAAUUUUAUCCUCCUAAUUUAUCCAAUUACUCAAUUUUGGUCUUCCAAUCUAGAUUUGGGCGUUAAUUGUUAAAGAAUGUUUAUUGAUAUGUGUCAUGUUCUAUUUGAAUAAUGACUGUCACAUGUCAUGUUCUGAUUGACCAAUAACAACAACAAUGUAUUUCAUCUUUCAUGAAGUUGACAUCCAAUCAGAACAUGACAUAUGACAGUCAUUAUCCAAUGAAAACGAAAACGUAACACGUGACCAUCAAUAUUUCUUUGUAACAUCAACGUCCAAUUAUAUAUGGAUUCGAGGACCAAGAUUGGAUGAUUGGAUAAAAUAAGAUGACAAAAUUUGUCAAUAAUUUUAAAGGGAAACCAAAAUCGAAAUUAAAAAUAAAUAAGAGGACCAAAAAUAUAAUUUUACCUUUAAUUUUUAUAAUUUUUAAACUUAUUUUUUUAGUUUAUAUAUUUAAUAACUGAAUUUUUAGUUCUUAAAUUUUAUAUUUUAAUUUUUAAAAGGUCUUUGUUAAAAUUCUUUUACUAAUUAAUGAAGUUAAAAAAAAUUAACGACAAAGACCUUAUUAAUUAAUGGAGUUAAACUUUAAGAUCUAAAAAAUUCAUUUAUUAAAUUUCAGGGAUUGAAAUAUUAACUUAUUAAUUAUAGAUAUUAAAAAAAGAUAAGUUUAGAACUAUAAGAACUAAAUAGAUAAUUAAACUUAAAAAAAAUAUUUGUAUCAUUUAAUACGUGAGUUCGGGACAACUUAUUCUUUAUCUUAAGCAUCUAUUAUAAUGAAAUAUUUUGCUUUUAAAAAAAAAUAGCCUUUUUCAUCUUUCUCUCUUUUUUUUUAAUGUCUUACCAAACUGAAUUAGGCACGGAAAAUUCUAAAAUUUACCAAGUAUAAUAGUGAAAAUGAGAAAUCAACUUUCCUCAAUAUAUUUUUUUUUAGUGGAAAUAAAAGACAAGCAAUAGAAAGAAAGAACUAAAUCUUAGUAUGAGAAACACCCCUGGCAUCAUCGCUCAAUAGAUGCUUCAUUUGACUAGGACAAGAUUCUACAACAACCAAAGGAGCCAUAGAGGAGGAGCUAGCCUCGGGAGCCAAUCCGCACAUAAGUUGGCCUCACGGAAGACAUGCCUAAAGUUGAGAUUCCACGGGAGAGAUUUGAAGUGAUUGAUUCUCCUGUUUACCGAAGUAUAAGGGUGGGUUCUUAAAUCAUGAUUCUGCAGAAGUUGAAUUGAAACGAGUGAGUCUGAUUCAAAAGUAACAUCUCUCUAGCCUUCAUUCCAAGCUAACUGUAAAUCGUGCAUGAUUUGCAGUAUGCUCAGUGUUGACAUUUGUUAAAACACCAAUAGGGGAGAUAUUGCUAAUAAUAUAAAUUUGAAAAUGAAAUAUUUCGCAAGUUCUUUACCUAAUGCUUUUAUCCAAAUUAAUUCAUAAACGAGUUGAUAUUUAGGAGAGAGCCUGAUUGGUUUAAUGAAUCUUAAGUGUUCCAUGUUAGCUCACGACAAUAGGAUAACCACAAUGUUACUUGCUAGAAAGACUUUAGAUUUUCAUAUGUGAACUCAUUACUAGGAUAACUUUUGAUACAAGAAUUUUUAUGCUUGAAUUUAUCGUGAAUUUCAUUAUAUUUGUUUAAAAGCAAAUCAUUUGAUCGAACUAUCGAUUCUUAUAUUAAUUAUUUAGAAAUUAAAGGAGUAAAAUAAAAAAAGUAUUCUUCCAUAGACCACAAAUAAACUUGAUACAACACUUCACCUAAAACCUUAAGGUUUAUGGAUCUUGAUUACUUGUAUGAUGUUCGAUUUAUAUAUUAUUAGCUAUUAUAAGAUUUGACGUUUAGACUUAAAUUCCAACAUAUAAAAUAUUAAAGGAAUAAAAAAGAAAAUAUAAUAAAUUAAUUAUAACUAAUUUUAAUAUAAUGAAAAGUUUAACUACUUUUCUUAAUAUAUGUGUUAUAAUUAAAUAACAUAAAAAUAAAUAAAAGAAGCAAUAAAUAAAUAGUGUAAAGAGUGAAAUGUAGGUCUACAACUUUGGAGCCGUUUUCCUCUUUAAAAUAAAUUGCAAAGAAUUUCUGAAUUUGAUUUUGGGUUUUUCAAGUUGGUGAAAGGUUUUUGCAGGUCUAAAUUCUAACUUCUAACCGUUCGCUUCACCCAGUGGCAAAGUCAGUGUGAGCAAAUUAUUUUAAAAAAUAAAAAUUAUUAUAUAAAGACAUAAAUAUUAAAAUUAUGUGUAUCGAGUUAAAAAAAAUGCCCAAUUGAUGAAUAAAGCUUAAAAUAUAUAGUGAGCUGAAACGGAAUUAAAUGUAAGAAAACACUAGUAAAUAAAAAACAAAAUUUGACAUCAGUUAAAAAAAAUCGAAAGCAAAAGUUCAAAUUAUAAAAUUGAGGAUGCAAAAAAAAAUAAUAACAAUAAAGCCCCGUUUAAAAGAGUUUAUUAACAACUCAUCUGUACUUAUAAGAGUAUUUGAAAAGGCUUAUAAAAAUAUAUGAUGAAUUCUUGUAAGAUGUUUCGUGCUAUUUUAACAUGAGCUGUCUUACUGAGCUUAUUGCUACAGCUUAUGCGGAGCGACUCUCGUAACAUCCAAACUUCAAAUCCCAUCCACAGACAAUACGGCGUAUCAGUGUUUGUUUUUUUGGUUCCUCCCUCGAAAACUAACUGUUUAUUUUUUUCGUUCCCCCUCCAAAAUCCAGUUUCGUUUGUUACUCGCCAUUUUUUAUUCUUCCCCCCCAAAAGUUUUCUUAACUCUUCUCUCAAUAUAAUAUAUAAUGCUUUGUUGAUACGUUGAAUUUCCAAUUGAUAUGAACAAAGAGAGGGGUCUUGAAUUUAGACAUGACUCAUGAUCUCCAUAAAAGGUUUCUCUGACCCAAAUUAAUCAAUUUGAGUAUAAUGCAUAGCAUAAUAUAUUGCUCUUGGUUUAAAGAAGAAGAAAAAAACGAUGACCCAUUAUGUGCAUAUUUAUUAGAAAUGGAUCGGAAUUGAUUUUCCAACAGUAUUGCACAGCCAAAAAUAAAAUAUGGUAUGAAUGCGAACUGGAUAGCUUAAAGUAAUUCCUUUGUUUGAUUAUUAAUGCAUUACUAUAUUAUCAGGAACUACAAUUUGUUUAUAAUAUAAAUAUUUAUAUUAUAUUUGCAUUGUGCUAGAAUAGCUCCUAAAAUCUCUUCAAACCAAGUAUAAGAAAAAGAAAAUAGUAGUGAAGAAUAAUCGAAGGCUGAAUGUAAAAAUAGGUAAGUGGUGUCCAAGAAACUUGAUUCCUCCAACCAUAUCAAUCGUGCAGUGUCAAAGAUCAUUAACAACGGGAAUCAAACACAACUCAUUUUUCCUUCCAACUGUCAAUCCGAAGUUUUCAACCAUAUCCAUAUACUCAGGUUUCAUCUCAUUUGGGAGUUCCCAAUUGAAGUGAUAGAGUAAUAGAGCGAGUGGAAGCAUAAUGUUGGCUAAACCAAGUGUCAUUCCUGGGCACAUUCUCCUUCCUGCUCCAAAAGGAAGAUACUCAAAGUUAUUUCCUUUGAAAUCGAUAGAGCUACCAUCAAACCUCUCUGGGACAAACCUCUCAGCAUCAGUCCAAUAUUGGGGAUCUCUUGCAAUCGCCCACGCAUUUAUCAUGACUUUAGUCUUGACAGGUAUUUCAUAUCCAUCAAUGAUGGUUCGCUUAGAGCAUUCUCUAGGGAGCAAUAAAGGAGAAGGAGUGUGUAGCCUUAAUGUCUCUUUGAUCACCAACUUUAAGUAUAUAAGUUCCUCUACAUCUGUUUCAUUGAUUAUUUUCAAUUCCCUAAAUGCUUGUCUUACUUCAGCCUGUGCUUUCUCCCUCACUCUUGGGUUUCUCAUCAUUUCUGCCAUAGCCCAUUCAAGUGUUGAUGCUGAAGUAUCCGUUCCAGCAGUAAAUACGUCCUAGUCAAACAAUUUUCAAAUAGGUUUAAUGGUAAAAUGAAGAUAUCAUAAAUUUUUGGAGAAAAAGGGGGGACAUAUAUAAAAACAAAUGAAUCUGUUGGGGAUCCAUAACAGUAUGUUUUCUAUUGUUUAGAAUUGGUUAAACAAGGUUGCUUAACUUUAAACAAUUCUUGUAAGUAACUGCGUUUGAGAUGACCUCAAGGAGUGCCAAAAAGAUGUCAUGCAAACAAUUUUCUCCAUAAUUUUGUAAUGUAGGAGAUUAGGAGAGUAAUAUAAUGUGUUAUUGUUUUGCUUACUAAUAUUAUAGCUUUGAUGUUUGUGGUCGUAAUUUUGAUCUCGAGAUUGUCACUUUGUUGGAUUCUCAAAAGAACAUCAACAAGAUCCUCCUCCUCUAGGUCAACCCUGCCUUCUCGUCGUGCCCUUUCACGCUUUUCUUGAUGCUCUUUGAGAAUGUUAUCCACGAUCUUGUCAACCUGCUCUUGCAUCUUCUCCAAUUUGGCCUUCCUUCCAUUUAUGAGAUGAAGUUUCAUCGAAGGAAACAAAUCGUCAAGUUCAAAUCCUGCCCCCACUACUACCAAUUCUUUAACCAAAGACACGAACUCUUCUUGGUCCUUACAUUUGUUACCAAAUGCUACCCUGGAAAUAGCAGAACUUACCAAGGAGUAAAUUUUAUUGGUAAGAUUGACUGGUGAACCUUCUGAUGUUCGAACUGAUUCUAUAAAUUUGGCUGUCUCGUCUUCUCUAAUAUCAGAGAAAGACUGAACUCUCUUGGCACUUAGAAGCUCCGACACACAUAUUUUCUUCAUUUGUCUCCAGUAAUCGCCAUAUGGAGCAAAAGCAAUAUCACUUUGACCAUAGGUCAAAAUUUGAGCAGGAAGAAAUUGUGGCCUCUGCACAAAAGCAAGAUCAUGGGUUUUCAUUAUCUCCUUGGCCAUGUUGGGGGAGGAUACAACCACUGAAGAAAUUUCACCAAGUUGGAGAUGCAUGAGAGGUCCAUAUUUAAGGGCAAGGUCUCGGAGAGUACGAUGUGGAAGUGAACCAGCCAUUGCUAGUUGAUGCAGGUUCCCUAUCAGAGGUAGCUUCUUUGGUCCCGGGGGUAGUUUGUGAGAAAGGGUGGUUUUUGGCUUGUAAUAAU
This 7042-nucleotide long non-coding RNA is filed under the name Glycine max (soybean). RNAcentral's name for it is "long non-coding RNA (GMAX_LNC000202)". The stretch from base 2140 to 2259 matches the Rfam family "MIR1520 microRNA precursor family". Lineage: Eukaryota; Viridiplantae; Streptophyta; Magnoliopsida; Fabales; Fabaceae. The record is from RNAcentral.